UGUCUGGGGCCCUGCAGG
RNAcentral lists this microRNA (18 nucleotides) under Eptesicus fuscus (big brown bat). Its description in RNAcentral is "efu-miR-9360". The record is from miRBase by way of RNAcentral. Lineage: Eukaryota; Metazoa; Chordata; Mammalia; Chiroptera; Vespertilionidae.